RNAcentral lists this ribosomal RNA (319 nucleotides) under Dikerogammarus villosus. RNAcentral describes it as "partial 16S ribosomal RNA". Lineage: Eukaryota; Metazoa; Arthropoda; Malacostraca; Amphipoda; Gammaridae. The record is from RNAcentral.
AAUCAUAUUUAUAGAUAUGGUCUCCCCAAAUAUAUUGCACUGUUAUCCCUAAAGUAACUUACACAUAAAAUCUUUAUUUAAAGGACCCCUUAAUUUUUUUUUAAUACAAAUAAAUUCACUGCCCCAGUGAAUUAAUAUUACCACUAACACCAAUUAAAUACUUUUCAUAAAGCUUUUAGGGUCUUAUCGUCCCCUAAUGUAUUAAAGAAUUAUUACUUUAUAUUUAAUUUACUAUUAAAAUUUACAAACUAAUUAAAUUAAUUAAACCGUUCAUGCUAGUUUUCAAUUAAAAAACAAUUGAUUAUGCUACCUUAGCACG